CUUGUGUUAGUGUGUAAGUCUCUCUGGAUAAGAGUGUCUGCUAAAUGACUCACA
Non-coding RNA from Salmo salar (Atlantic salmon), 54 nucleotides. The record is from Rfam. Lineage: Eukaryota; Metazoa; Chordata; Actinopteri; Salmoniformes; Salmonidae.